Molecule: ribosomal RNA, 772 nt
Filed under: uncultured archaeon
Lineage: Archaea
Description: bacterial SSU rRNA
Rfam family: Archaeal small subunit ribosomal RNA
Source: RNAcentral
CUCAGUAACACGUGGAUAACCUGCCCUUAGGUUUGGCAUAACUCCGGGAAACUGGAGAUAAUUCCGAAUAAACCAUUGAUGCUGGAAUGCUUUUUGGUUCAAAGACUUCGGUUGCCUAAGGAUGGAUCUGCGGUCUAUCAGGUAGUAGUGGGUGUAAGGUACCUACUAGCCUACGACGGAUAUGGGUUGUGAGAGCAAGAGCCCAGAGAUGGAUUCUGAGACAUGAAUCCAGGCCCUACGGGGCGCAGCAGGCGCGAAAACUUUACAAUGCGGGAAACCGCGAUAAGGGGACACCGAGUGCCAGCAUAUUAUGUUGGCUGUCCACAUGUGUAAACGGCAUGUGUUAGCAAGGGCCGGGCAAGACCGGUGCCAGCCGCCGCGGUAACACCGGCGGCCCGAGUGGUAAUCACUUUUAUUGGGUCUAAAGGGUCCGUAGCCGGUUUGAUCAGUUCUUCGGGAAAUCUGACAGCUCAACUGUUAGGCUUCCGGGGAAUACUGUCAGACUUGGGACCGGGAGAGGUAAGAGGUACUACAGGGGUAGGAGUGAAAUCUUGUAAUCCCUGUGGGACCACCAGUGGCGAAGGCGUCUUACCAGAACGGGUCCGACGGUGAGGGACGAAAGCUGGGGGCACGAACCGGAUUAGAUACCCGGGUAGUCCCAGCCGUAAACGAUGUUCGCUAGGUGUCAGGGACGGUGCGACCGUUUCUGGUGCCGUAGGGAAGCCGUGAAGCGAACCACCUGGGAAGUACGGCCGCAAGGCUGAAACUAAAG